Eriocheir sinensis (Chinese mitten crab) is the source of this 1292-nucleotide long non-coding RNA. RefSeq lists it as uncharacterized. The record is from RefSeq and is a predicted model, not a curated record. NCBI's taxonomy places the organism in Eukaryota, Metazoa, Arthropoda, Malacostraca, Decapoda, Varunidae. The transcript has 5 exons.
CUCGUCAGCCGUGGUAGGCAGUCUGCCUAGGAGAGCAAACUCCGAACAACAAACCCGGGCAGGUGGAGCUCGUUAGCCGUGGUAGGCAGUCUGCCUAGGAGAGCAAACUCCGAACAACAAACCCGGGCAGGUGGAGCUCGUCAGCCGUGGUAGGCAGUCUGCCUAGGAGAGCAAACUCCGAACAACAAACCCGGGCAGGUGGAGCUCGUUAGCCGUGGUAGGCAAUUCACCUAGGAGAGCAAACUCCGAACAACAAACCCGGGCAGGUGGAGCUCGUUAGCCGUGGUAGGCAGUCUGCCUAGGAGAGCAAACUCCGAACAACAAACCCGGGCAGGUGGAGCUCGUUAGCCGUGGUAGGCAGUCUGCCUAGGAGAGCAAACUCCGAACAACAAACCCGGGCAGGUGGAGCUCGUUAGCCGUGGUAGGCAGUCUGCCUAGGAGAGCAAACUCCGAACAACAAACCCGGGCAGGUGGAGCUCGUUAGCCGUGGUAGGCAGUCUGCCUAGGAGAGCAAACUCUAAACAAACCCGGGCAGGUGGAGCUCGUUAGCUGUGGUAGGCAGUCUGCCUAGGAGAGGGACAACUCCGAAUAACAAACCCGGGCAGGUUGGGCUCGUGAGCCGUCAUAGGCAAUACACCUAGGAGAGCAAACUCCGAACAAGAAACACGGGCAGGUGGAGCUCGUCAGCCGUGGCAAGCAGUUCAUCUAGGAGAGGGACAACUCCGAACAAGAAACACGGGCAGGUGGAGCUCGUCAGCUCUGGCAGGCAGUUCAUCUAGGAGAGGGACAACUCCGAACAAGAAACACGGGCAGGUGGAGCUCGUCAGCCGUGGCAGGCAGUCUGCCUAGGAGAGCAAACUCCGAACAACAAACCCGGGCGGUGGAGCUCGUUAGACGUCGUAGACAUCCACGUGAUGGGAACACCAAAAUGAAAAUGAAAAUGAAAAUAAACACCAGAAUAAAGAAAAUGUAGAAAUGAGACAUCAAGAAAACAAAAUAAGAAACAGAUCAUCCACCUUUCGGCCCUAACUAACAUCACCAAAAUUAUGGGUGGGUCUUUUCUGGGGAGAAAGAGGCUCAUCCAGACCAAAGAACAUCAAACAGGGAUGACAUAGAAAAGAUAAAAGAACAACAUGAAGAAAAGAAGAAAAAAAUAUCAUCCACCUUUCGGUCCCAAGUAACAUCACAAAAUCGUGGGUGGGUCUCUUCUGGGGAGAAAGAGGCUCAGCCAGACCAAAGAACAUCAAAAGGGAUGAUACAGAAAAGAUAAAACAACAACAACAAGAAAAGAA